This 255-nucleotide ribosomal RNA is filed under the name uncultured bacterium. RNAcentral describes it as "partial 16S ribosomal RNA". It matches the Rfam family "Bacterial small subunit ribosomal RNA", at positions 524 to 776 of the family's 1533-position model. The record is from RNAcentral.
UACAGAGGGUGCGAGCGUUGUUCGGAAUUACUGGGCGUAAAGCGCGCGCAGGCGGCCCUUUAAGUCCGUCGGUCAAAUGCCGGGGCUCAACCCCGUUGCAUGCCGAGGAUACUGUGGGGCUAGAGUACGGAAGAGGCGAGUGGAAUUCCUGGUGUAGCGGUGGAAUGCGCAGAUAUCAGGAGGAACACCAAUAGCGAAGGCAGCUCGCUGGGACGUUACUGACGCUGAGGCGCGAAAGCGUGGGGAGCGAACAGG